This 358-nucleotide unclassified non-coding RNA is filed under the name soil metagenome. Its description in RNAcentral is "partial contains 5.8S ribosomal RNA, internal transcribed spacer 2, and large subunit ribosomal RNA". The stretch from base 1 to 120 matches the Rfam family "5.8S ribosomal RNA", at positions 35 to 154 of the family's 154-position model. The record is from RNAcentral.
GAUGAAGAACGUAGCGAAAUGCGAUAAGUAAUGUGAAUUGCAGAAUUCAGUGAAUCAUCGAAUCUUUGAACGCACAUUGCGCCCGCCAGUAUUCUGGCGGACAUGCCUGUCCGAGCGUCAUUUCAACCCUCGAACCCCUCCGGGGGGUCGGCGUUGGGGACCUCGGGAGCCCCUAAGACGGGAUCCCGGCCCCGAAAUACAGUGGCGGUCUCGCCGCAGCCUCUCCUGCGCAGUAGUUUGCACAACUCGCACCGGGAGCGCGGCGCGUCCACGUCCGUAAAACACCCAACUUCUGAAAUGUUGACCUCGGAUCAGGUAGGAAUACCCGCUGAACUUAAGCAUAUCAAUAAGCGGAGGA